AAAAAUAUUACAGUCAUUCCUUAUAAUUUAAUUCUAAAUUCUGUUUAAAACCAAGGUAAAUCAUUAAAAAAAAAUGUUGAUUACGUCACGGUCACAUGACAAAAUUAUGUCUAUUAAAGCUGAUAGACCCAACUUUAUCAGCCAAUCAGAAGAUGUGUUACAUCCAAAAUUAAAUUAUUAUAUUAUGGGUGAAUUAAUGUAUGCAUGUAGAUAUAAAUCUCAAAUUGAUCAGGAGGGCAAGUUAUAAAAUAGAAUAAAUGUACCUUUGUUUUUGUUAUACAUAAAUAGUGUGUUUCUACAUGUCAGAAUCGAGAGCUUAUUAUUUUGUUUAAGCAACAUUUUUAGUUAAUUUUAUUUUAUUGUUAUUAGCUUGUGUGUUAAUCUUUUGAGCUGUGUAUUUUUUAUAUAUACAUAUUUAUGUGUUUUCAUUUUCUUUUUCUUACCAUUUUGCAAGUUAAGUGUACUACAAUUUCUGUAUUUAAUUGUGUACUAUGAUUUCCUGUAUUAGGGCUAUUCCAGAAAAAAAUGUAGGGGGGG
This 537-nucleotide long non-coding RNA is filed under the name Mytilus galloprovincialis (Mediterranean mussel). The record is from RNAcentral. Lineage: Eukaryota; Metazoa; Mollusca; Bivalvia; Mytilida; Mytilidae.